This 294-nucleotide ribosomal RNA is filed under the name uncultured bacterium. RNAcentral describes it as "partial 16S ribosomal RNA". It matches the Rfam family "Bacterial small subunit ribosomal RNA", at positions 1 to 290 of the family's 1533-position model. The record is from RNAcentral.
CUAGAGUUUGAUCAUGGCUCAGGACGAACGCUGGCGGCGUGCCUAAUACAUGCAAGUCGAGCGGACUGAUUCGGGGCUUGCUCCGAAGAGGUCAGCGGCGGACGGGUGAGUAACACGUGGGUAACCUGCCUGAUCGUCUGGGAUAACGCUUGGAAACGAGUGCUAAUACCGGAUAAUCUCUUGGAUCGCAUGGUUCGAGAGUAAAAGGAGCUUUUGCUCCGCGAUCAGAUGGACCCGCGGCGCAUUAGCUAGUUGGUGAGGUAACGGCUCACCAAGGCGACGAUGCGUAGCGCC